UACGGAGGGGACUAGCGUUGUUCGGAAUUACUGGGCGUAAAGCGCACGUAGGCGGAUUUGUAAGUCAGGGGUGAAAUCCUGGAGCUCAACUCCAGAACUGCCUUUGAUACUGAGGAUCUUGAGUUCGGGAGAGGUGAGUGGAACUGCGAGUGUAGAGGUGAAAUUCGUAGAUAUUCGCAAGAACACCAGUGGCGAAGGCGGCUCACUGGCCCGAUACUGACACUGAGGCGCGAGAGCGUGGGGAGCAAACAGG
Molecule: ribosomal RNA, 253 nt
Filed under: uncultured bacterium
Lineage: Bacteria
Description: partial 16S ribosomal RNA
Rfam family: Bacterial small subunit ribosomal RNA
Source: RNAcentral